CUGGCCAUAAAUACUGUUACAAAGGAAAAAAUAAAAUUUCUAUUGCAAAUAACAUUUAUUACUUUUACAGUGUGUUAGUUUAAUACAUAAAUAUAAAACAAUUUAAAGUAUAAAAAGCUUAUUCGAAGUGGUCUCCAUUGGCUGCAAUACAUUCCUUUAAACGUUGAGGCCAGUUCUCAAUAGAAGCACGCACUCUUUCCAUGGGAAAAUUUUUCUCUGCCAAUCGUACCGAUUGUUUUAGGGACUCCAAAUUAUCAUGGCCUUUAGAACAAGCCGUACUCUCUAAAACUGACCAUAAAUCAUAAUCCAGCGGAUUAAGGACGGGACUAGACGACGGCCAGGCUUCAGCUCUGAUGAAGUCCGAGACGUUCGUUUCCAACCAAGACUGCGUAGACCGAGCUUUAUGACCUGGCGCCGAGUCUUGCUGGAAGGACCAUUCUUGAUUAUUGAACAUGGUGUUGUUAAGGGGCUUCACUACCUUCUCAAGAAUGGUAUUUUGAUACACUUGUGCCGAUGUGUUGAUACCUUUUUCACAAAAGUAUGGCUCAGUCACUUCUUCAUAGCUAAUACCCCACCAAACCAUCACUGAAGUCGGAUAGUGCCCACGUUGCACUCUGUCGACAAAUUGUGAAGCUUCCUUAGAGCUUUGAGCAUAAAUACGGUCAAUUUGUUUGUUAAAAUGUUGCUCAAUUGUAAAAUUUUUCUCAUCCGUACAAAAAUUUUCUAUGACCUCCCUUUGCGUACCGCUUCAGUAGUUGUUUCGAUUUUACCACCCUAUUCUCUUUUAAAUUAUCAGUUAAGAAAUGACACAGUACGUCUCUUAUAAGCUGCAAGUCCUAAGUCAUCUUUUAAAAUACGUGACAUGGUUCUAGGUGCUAUCUUCAUCUCCCGAGAUAAAAUCUUUUGCUUUCGGACAGGAUUUCUUCGAAUUCUUUCCCUUACUGCUUUGACCACCUUUUUCGUACGAACACUACGUAGACGGCCAGAACUUUUUCUGUCACAAACAGAGGAGGUCUCAUUGCACCUAUUAAUAGCCCGGUACACAAACAUUUUACUAAUACCAAGCGUAUGGAGAGUUUUAAAAAUUGCCUUUGGCUCCAUACCUACUUUGUGUAAUGCAAUCACAGCGAUUCGGUACUCUUUAUCACCCCACUCCAUUUUAAUAUCGCAAAAUAUUGUACAAUGUAUUGGCGCCAAAAUGAGAAAACUCAAUGAGCAAUCAUAUAAAAUGACAGAUUCCAAAUUCAAAUGUAAUAUUUUGUUUAUUUUUAAUUGUAACAGUAUUUAUGGCCAGAAUAAGUAUUUUAAAAUUCGUUUGUAGUGCUACUUACUCGCCGAAGUCACAUUACCAUUUACAGUUAUCUUUACAACACCAUACCCGCACAGGUCGCCCCUAUAACACGGUAGAUACGUUCCAACAAAGUCCCGUGUUGUGCGAAAUCGUGUUAUGACUAGUAGCCAGUACUAAGGGGAGAGUAAUAUUUUUUAAUGAAACAUCUCAACUAUCCCUUUCACAGUUCUUACAUCAUCAUCAUCAGCCUUUAUCUGCCCACUGCUGGACAUAGACCUUCCCCGAUGCCUUCCACAUAAUGCAGUCCUCCGCUUUCCGCAUCCAACGACUUCCCGCCGUGCGCACUAAAUCGUCAGUCCACCUGGUUGGAGGACGCCCCACGCUCCUGACUCCUCUACUCGUGGCUUUCUUCUACCAGCUCAAGCAGUCGUAGUGAAACCGAAACAGUCCCUCGAAGCUACUGGCAGACAGGUCAUCAUCAUAGCCCUCACAAAUUUCGUACACAUCAAAGAUCGUGCGUGAGAAGGUGAAACAAAAGUGGUGGUCACGACCCUCAGCAGUGAGGAAUACGACGCAAGGAGGAGACAUCACAACUUGACUAUGGCAAGUCAAGCCUCAAUUGCACCGUGGGCUCCCUUGAUCUUAAGAGGCGAGUGAAUUUAUGUAUGCUAUAACAUAUAUACAUGAGAUCGAAAUCUAGAUGGUAUUAUGUAUCAACCGACCCACUGUCAAGAAUAGGGAUGUUUGACUGCUGAGCGGUAGAAUGGUUUCAAAACUUUCAAACCUUUCUAUCGUUCAUCAGUUUCUCAAAGUUUUGCAAAAUAGUGAUGUGAUUACAUUUCAUACAUUUGGAUGAGAGGUUUUUUUUUUUUUAAGAGAUUUUAUGACCUGGUAACUAAGACCUUUAAGUCAUGUCUUAUUUUACUUUAUUUUCUUAAUUUUAUGAAAAAUGAUAAUAUGGAGUGAAAUGAAAUGAAGAUGAUUAAUUUGAGACAUUAAUCAACUGGGAUGAAAUUUAAUGAAAUGAGAUGAUAUGGGAUGAAAUAUAAUCGCAGUAAAAUGGUGGUCAUUUACUGAGAUUUUUUCAGUGGACUUUUUGGAGGAACCCGAGAAGUUACGUCCAGCAGCUUUGUUUCAUUUUCCCACAUUUGUGCACUUUCACAGAUAUUAAACAGUUAAUAAACCACCAUUAUUACACAUUUAAACCUGAAGAAACACUAAAUAGACAAAAUAAAACAAUUCACACAACUUCACUCCUCGCGUUCCCGCCAAAAAGUCUUGGAUGAGAGGUUCAGUUUAGUGUUGCAAAAGUGAGAAAUUAUUUUUAAUAAGAAAUAAAAACAAUUUAAAACAUUUUAUUAAAUUUUAUAAAAUUUUCUUAACAAUACUUUCUUAUAAUAACAUUACACAAAACUAACUAAACUAAUAUAAGCAAUAUUCUGUGAUACGUAUUAACAAGUAAGUAAACAUUUAAAUACGAUUACAUUUAAUAGAAAAAAAGGUUUUUGGUACAAAAUGUAUUUUUAUUUCACAAUUUUUUGUUUUGUUUUAAACGAGAGUCGUAAUGUUAAAUAAAAUCACAGAUUUGCAGAUAUUUUCAGACCAAUACAAGAAUUUUAACCGAAUCUCUACUUAAUAGAAAUAGGAAAAAAAAUGUGCAACCCACACCCAUAAAAACAGUUCCAAUCAACCGUAAGCAUUCGUGAACACAACAAUUACAGUUUAUUAUGUUUCACUUGGUUUGACACCUUUAUAAUAAACCAUAAAAACCUAGUAGGUACUUGUGGAGUUAUAACUGAAUAUUAGAAUCGAUUGAGAGUUAGAAUCGAAAUAGUAACGAUUAUAAUUUAGUACCUUA
Bombyx mori (domestic silkworm) is the source of this 3149-nucleotide long non-coding RNA. RefSeq lists it as uncharacterized. The record is from RefSeq and is a predicted model, not a curated record. NCBI's taxonomy places the organism in Eukaryota, Metazoa, Arthropoda, Insecta, Lepidoptera, Bombycidae. The transcript is spliced from 4 exons.